RNAcentral lists this ribosomal RNA (1372 nucleotides) under uncultured bacterium. RNAcentral describes it as "bacterial SSU rRNA". It matches the Rfam family "Bacterial small subunit ribosomal RNA", at positions 28 to 1381 of the family's 1533-position model. The record is from RNAcentral.
GAUGAACGCUGGCGGCGUGCCUAAUACAUGCAAGUCGAGCGAACGGACGAGAAGCUUGCUUUUCUGAUGUUAGCGGCGGACGGGUGAGUAACACGUGGAUAACCUACCUAUAAGACUGGGAUAACUUCGGGAAACCGGAGCUAAUACCGGAUAAUAUUUUGAACCGCAUGGUUCAAAAGUGAAAGACGGUCUUGCUGUCACUUAUAGAUGGAUCCGCGCUGCAUUAGCUAGUUGGUAAGGUAACGGCUUACCAAGGCAACGAUGCAUAGCCGACCUGAGAGGGUGAUCGGCCACACUGGAACUGAGACACGGUCCAGACUCCUACGGGAGGCAGCAGUAGGGAAUCUUCCGCAAUGGGCGAAAGCCUGACGGAGCAACGCCGCGUGAGUGAUGAAGGUCUUCGGAUCGUAAAACUCUGUUAUUAGGGAAGAACAUAUGUGUAAGUAACUGUGCACAUCUUGACGGUACCUAAUCAGAAAGCCACGGCUAACUACGUGCCAGCAGCCGCGGUAAUACGUAGGUGGCAAGCGUUAUCCGGAAUUAUUGGGCGUAAAGCGCGCGUAGGCGGUUUUUUAAGUCUGAUGUGAAAGCCCACGGCUCAACCGUGGAGGGUCAUUGGAAACUGGAAAACUUGAGUGCAGAAGAGGAAAGUGGAAUUCCAUGUGUAGCGGUGAAAUGCGCAGAGAUGUGGAGGAACACCAGUGGCGAAGGCGACUUUCUGGUCUGUAACUGACGCUGAUGUGCGAAAGCGUGGGGAUCAAACAGGAUUAGAUACCCUGGUAGUCCACGCCGUAAACGAUGAGUGCUAAGUGUUAGGGGGUUUCCGCCCCUUAGUGCUGCAGCUAACGCAUUAAGCACUCCGCCUGGGGAGUACGACCGCAAGGUUGAAACUCAAAGGAAUUGACGGGGGCCCGCACAAGCGGUGGAGCAUGUGGUUUAAUUCGAAGCAACGCGAAGAACCUUACCAAAUCUUGACAUCCUUUGACAACUCUAGAGAUAGAGCCUUCCCCUUCGGGGGACAAAGUGACAGGUGGUGCAUGGUUGUCGUCAGCUCGUGUCGUGAGAUGUUGGGUUAAGUCCCGCAACGAGCGCAACCCUUAAGCUUAGUUGCCAUCAUUAAGUUGGGCACUCUAAGUUGACUGCCGGUGACAAACCGGAGGAAGGUGGGGAUGACGUCAAAUCAUCAUGCCCCUUAUGAUUUGGGCUACACACGUGCUACAAUGGACAAUACAAAGGGCAGCGAAACCGCGAGGUCAAGCAAAUCCCAUAAAGCUGUUCUCAGUUCGGAUUGUAGUCUGCAACUCGACUACAUGAAGCUGGAAUCGCUAGUAAUCGUAGAUCAGCAUGCUACGGUGAAUACGUUCCCGGGUCU